This 1058-nucleotide long non-coding RNA is filed under the name Equus asinus (donkey). RNAcentral's name for it is "lncRNA (ENSEASG00005024270.1)". The record is from RNAcentral. Lineage: Eukaryota; Metazoa; Chordata; Mammalia; Perissodactyla; Equidae.
AUCACUUCCUUUGAGGGACGCCAGCCACCAUGUUGAGCAGUCCUAUGAAUAAGCCUUUCAGUGAGGAACUAAGGCCUCAAGUCAAUAGCCAUAUGAGGGCGCCAUCUUAGAAGUGGAUCCUCCAGCCCCAGUGAAGCUUUCAGGUGACUGCAGCCCUUGCCAACCUCUUGACUGCAACCUCACGAGAGACUCUGGGCCAGAAACAUCCAACUAAGCAGCUCUCAAAUUCUUGAGCAUUAUUCACAAUAGCCAAGACUUGGAAGCAACCUAGGUGCCCAUCAAGGGACAAAUGGAUAAAGAAGAUGUAGUGUAUAUAUACCCGAUGGAAUACUACUCAGCCAUAAGAAAUGAUGAACUCCGUCCACUUGUGACAACAUGAAUGGACCUUGAGGGCAUUAUGGUUGUGUGAGGCCACGAUCUUGUGCCAAGGAGAAGACAAGCUGAAAGAUGGAAGGGUGUGAAGCAGAGCGCGGCUGAACAUAAGGACAGAAAGCGCCUGGAACCUUGCAGACACAACUGAGCGGCUGCAUCAAACCUGGCUUGCCUCCUUCCAAGCUUCUCCUUAGGUGAUUGGGAGCAAGUUUCUUACUCUCUCCAAGCCCCAGUUUCUUCACCUGCAAAGAGAAGGAGAUCAGCAGUCAGGACCCAUUCCCCAGGGCCAUUGUGAGAAAUAAAUAGCAGAACAAUGGUGUUUUUGGACAUUUCUCCAAGAGUGGCCAGAAGACCAUUGCAUCAGAUGAGCACCUGGAGUCUUGUGAAAAACACAAAUUCCAUAGACAUCCUGAAUUUUAAUCUGCAGGGGUGGCGUUGGAGGGGAUGAGAAGAGAAGCCUAGGAUUCUGCAUUUUAAAGGGGCUUCUCAGGGGAUGGUUGACUGGAAUAUGCUUUGUGGAAUUAUUUUAAGAAGUAACUAAUACGAGAUCGGAAAGCACCUUUUCCUCUUAGCCAAAAUUGUGCACAAGAGAAUCUCCACUCUCUGGGCCAGUUCAAUGAAAGAAGUGAAUUUUCCUUUUUUUCUCUUUCUUUCCUCCUUUCUAUAAAGUUCAUUCACUUAGUAAA